CCUACGGGAGGCAGCAGUGGGGAAUAUUGCUCAAUGGGGGAAACCCUGAAGCAGCCACGCCGCGUGAGGGAUGAAGGCUUUCGGAAUGUAAAACUCUUUUAGUAGGGAAGAAAAUGACGGUACCUGACUAAGAAGGCCCGGCUAACUCCGUGCCAGCAGCCGCGGUAAUACGUAAGGGGCCGGCGUUAUCCGGAUUUACUGGGUGUAAAGGGAGCGUAGGCGGUGUGGCAAGCGAGAUGGGAAAUCUCUGGGCUCAACCCCGGGACUGCAGUGGGAACUGGCGGGCUAGAGUGUGGGAGAGGCAGGCGGAAUGCGUGGUGUAGCGGUGAAAUGCGUAGAUAUGAGGAAGAACACCGAUUGCGAAGGCAGCUUGCUGAAGGAGGACUGACGUUGAGGCACGAAAGCGUGGGGAGCAAACAGGAUUAGAUACCCUUGUAGUC
This 440-nucleotide ribosomal RNA is filed under the name uncultured bacterium. RNAcentral describes it as "partial 16S ribosomal RNA". It matches the Rfam family "Bacterial small subunit ribosomal RNA", at positions 338 to 795 of the family's 1533-position model. The record is from RNAcentral.